UUGUUAGGCCUGAAUAAAGAUAUAGCAGACAAAACCAGGUAUGCCAACCUGACCAAAGUCAGGCUAACAGAGGUUUGUGGGUAAUCCCUGAGUGGAAAACACUGAGAAGCAGCAGCAUGUCUCACAAGCGCUGGGAAAAAGUGAGAUAAGAGAGAAGCUGCAUUCCUGGCAUAGUACCAGAUGUGCUGUGUUCGGGCAGCUCCUUCGAAGAACUGAUAAGAGUCCUAGUUUCCCAGCCUCCUUGUUUUCGCUCCCUGGUUUUGUUCUUUGUUUGUUUUGAACUCCCCUACAUUUCUAACUUUAGGCAUGCAUGUAUACUAAAGGUGUCUAGUUUCUAGUUGUUAGAAGAAGGGGGUGGGUUGCUCCAGUGAAUAAUUUAUGACGCGACGGAACUGUCUAUAUAGGCUUAUACUAAGAUGUAAAGAGCAGGCUGGUUCUCUCUGGAGACGAGCUGCUCUCUAUUGAUGCGUGCACUUGUCAAUAAAGAGCUUUUGAUCGGACCUUGCUGGUGUUGCCUGUCUCUCUCGCGGUCAGACAACGAACUUUGCCGUCUGGGGUAGAGUCCCUGACAUCUUUGGCGACUCCGCCGGGACCCGUCUGACUCUCCGGCGGGGGAUCGGACCCUGAGGCAACGCAGCGCGCAUCCUCCAGUUUAGAGGAGCCUUGCCUGGUGAUCUGAUCUCUGCGUUGGCGAUAAGGCGUGUUCUGUGAACCAGCUGAAACUCGUAGAAAUCCAGCAACGUCCACCUACCCGUUGAGUAGGGUCCAGGUUGUCGGGGUUAGAGUCCCUGACUACUUAGGUCUGGGUUAGAGUCCCAGUCCAGGUCUGGGUUAGAGUCCCAGUCCAGGUUUGCGCAGGAUCCAAGUUGUCUGGGUUUGAGUCCCAGUCCAGGUAUUCAAGUCCCUGGAGAGAUAAUCAGAGAAAACUGAUGCCAGCUAAACAGCAUUCAACGUACCAUGCAUUUACUGGCACAAUAGAAAUUAUGUUUUGUGUUCUAUGUUCUGUCUUGUGGUGUUAGUCUUGUGGCCGGAAUUUUUGUGUUUAAUAUUUUUAUAAAAUAAUCUAGUUUAAAAUCAAACAAAAAGGUUAAAUUAAAAUGCAGAUACUUGUUUUGUUCAACUUGGAAUACAAAGUGUUUAGAUAACUCAGGAGAAUGUGAUAUACUAAAGUCUAAUGCAUUUCCUUAAGUAAGGAAAAGAAACUUUAUUGGUCAAAUUGUUAAUUGCAAAAAUUGUUGUUAAAAUUUGCAUACCAACAGUCUUUGAAAGCAAAGACAUGAAAAGUUAACCCACUCCCCAUAUUGUACAUGGGAUCUUUCUGGCUACCUCAGAUUUCUAGCCAGAGGGCUGGGGAUGGUGGAAGGCUAUUGGACUAGAGGUUGUAUUGAGUGAACUCCUCAAAGUGGGUGUGCUUGUCCUGGCUUGUUGCUCGAAAGCUCUGUAAUAAGGUUAUUUUAGUAAAAGGUUAUGUGUGGCAUAUAUUGAAUAAUAAGACUAAUGUACUGUAUAAUGACAAUGUGUAGGUGUUCAUUGUUGGGAAAAAGGUGUAUAAGUAAAAAGUGAAAGUUUCCUUUGCAGGUUAAAAGAAGCCAAGAAGGAAAGAAGGACAAAGAACAGAAUGAAUUAACUGAAAAAAAUAAAAUAAAAUAAAAUAAAAUAGCAAGCUCAGGCUAUAGAUAAGACACUGACUCCAUUCAAGGACACUGCUCACAGUUAAGACUUGGUUAACAACCAGGAAAAGGAGAGCUUGAAUUUGCCCAUGCAGCUAUGAGAUCUGAAAAACACUGCCAGGCACUAAUGAAAUGUGUUAAGUUUCUUUUCUCACAGGU
Long non-coding RNA from Gopherus flavomarginatus (Mexican gopher tortoise), 1829 nucleotides. RefSeq lists it as uncharacterized. Lineage: Eukaryota; Metazoa; Chordata; Testudines; Testudinidae. The record is from RefSeq and is a predicted model, not a curated record. The transcript is spliced from 2 exons.